CAUUAUAAUUUAUUAAAUACAUAAGCUAACUACAUUAACAACUAAUGUAUUACAAUUUUUGUAGAACUAGCAACCUGAAAAAUUCCUGCCUAUUUUGGACAAAAUUAGUCCAUCAAAUCUUGGUCUCUCUCAUGUUAAAAAGUAGGAACCCAAUUUUCCAGCUUUUGAGUCUGCUGAUUUGGCCAACUAGUGACCAAAACUGCAGGUACUAGCCCAUGGUUUGCCAACAUCCUUAAGUGAUAUUAAGGAGAUAACAUAUUAUUCAUUUAAAAUAAAGAAGAGAAGAUAGCAUGACUUUAAUAAAAACAGCAUUCAAGAUCAGCUUUAAAACAUAUAGCAUUUGGCUAAUAGAAAUAGACCAAAUAGUGAGAGUCAUGUUGAUUCCUUUCUAUGUUAAAAAAUAAAUUCAAUUUUAUUCAUAUCAAGCCAAUCAAACAUCAUAUAAAACAUUGUACAUGUAUUACAAGCUCAUUAAUAGUAUAUCAUUUCAGAAAAAACCAACAGUAUAUGAGGAAGAAAUGAAGGCAGUAUCUCGAAUAAACAACAAUAAGAAACCAACAAUUAUAAGAUGAAAAACUGGUUGAAAGCUCAAAAGAAAAUGAGCGGCAACAGAAACCAGAUAGCCAGCAACCAAAAAUCAAAACCAAACUUCAACAACAUCUAACCACACUAAAACCCCAAAGAGAAACCAAGAAGCUUUCACUUUCAAACCAUAUUUUCAGCUUAAGAAGACUAGAAGAAAUCAGGGAGGUCUUUGACUAUUUUUUGCUAAAUCAAAUAUCAAAGGAAUAUCAGCUUUUAAGAACACAAUAGCUGGAAUUUUAAGAGUGUUUUUCAAGGUUUUCCAUCUUAUUUUCUAUAAGAAAAGGUACUAUAUAUAAGCGCCAAAGAUGUCAUGUGCUGAAAGAAUUAUUCCAUCAGCUACAAAGAGCAUAUUCUAACAGAAUUGGAGAGCUGGCUGUCCUUCAUUGUUCUCAGUACUUUGAGCUAACUAAAUGAGGCCAGUUGUCACCCCAUUCUAGAACAUUCUAGUAUGGAUUCUAUCCAAUUUCAAAAUUAUCUACCCCUUUAUGACCCCCUUGAGUUUUCUUUUGUUCAAUUCGCCCCCAAGAAGUUCCUACUGAUUCACAAAUUUAGGCAAACAAAGAUAAGACUGGAAAGGAUCGGAAUACAAAUCAAAAUGGCAAACAAAAAUUAAAAAUGAUGCAAUUUAGACUAAGAACCUAAUCAGUAAAGGAAAGUGUUUUAUCUAAUUAAACCUAAAUAAAACGAAACUUAAACGGCUAAUGGAUUUUUCACAGUAACUAAACCAAAUUAUUAGGAAAAACUACAAAGAAAUCCUAGAAGUUAAAUUACUCAAUUUAUGAAUUAACAUGUGAAAAUUUAGAAUACAUGAGAGGAGCAGUUAAACAAGAGAAUUGAAAAAAAGACAGAAUAAACAAUUCACCAUUAGUUAAUCUAAACAUGUGCAAAAUUGAAAUGAAGUCCUAGCAUACUUUAAUUAAUCUAAUGAAUAACGUGUAAACAAACAAAUAACAAUUUAAAAUAAGAAAACCCCUAAAAUUAUGCGGUUAAAUAGAAAAAAUUAAACACGAAGAGGAAUCAACAAAGAAAAAAGAAAAAUAAAGAAAAGGUGGAAGAAGCUAUUCAUUUUUAAACCAAACUGGACAAACUAACAAAUCUUAGCCAAGCUUUGAAAGGUAAAAUGAACAUUGAACUAACAUUAAUCGACGGUUCUCAUCAAGAACAGUCGACUAAUGAAAGCUUGGGGUUCAAUUGACCAAACUAUAACCGAAAACCAACAAAGGGUACAAGAUUAGGGUUCAGAGGACCUCAUAUUUGAAAUUCGAAGAAAUUGGCUAGGAUUUUCGGGAAAUUAAUUGUAGUUUAGGGUUCAGAGGGGUGUGAGGAGUGUGGGGGUGUGAUUUUGGGGCAGCUUGGGUGAUUUAGGGUUUUAGGAUUUCGAUCUUAGAUGUAAGAUUCGAAGAGUUUGGUAAUGAUUCGAGGGAAUUGGUUUGGAGAUUUAAAAAGGGUAGGGAAAUAAGAUUAUAGGAUGUAAUUUUGUUAGAGUUUGGGUGUCGCCUGCGUUGUGGAGCGAUUUCCGGCGGCGGAACAAGGCGGCGCCAGCGAGGGGAUUUAGGGCGGCUAGGGUUUGGUUUCUUCAGGUGAGAGAGAUGAAAUGGUGGAUGUCUUUUGGGGUUGGGGGGUGUUUCAGAUAGUAAUAUAACAAGGGGCUAA
RNAcentral lists this long non-coding RNA (2238 nucleotides) under Nicotiana benthamiana. RNAcentral describes it as "long non-coding RNA (NBEN_LNC011583)". Lineage: Eukaryota; Viridiplantae; Streptophyta; Magnoliopsida; Solanales; Solanaceae. The record is from RNAcentral.